AUUAGCCAUGCAUGUCUCAGUACAUGCCGAAUUAAGGUGAAACCGCGAAUGGCUCAUUAAAUCAGUUAUGGUUCAUUAGAUCGUGGACACAUUUACUUGGAUAACUGUGGUAAUUCUAGAGCUAAUACAUGCAAACAGAAUUCCUCUCAGAGAUGGGAGGAAUGCUUUUAUUAGAUCAAAACCAAUCGGUGGCGGACGGCUCGUCCGUUCGUCCAUCGUUUGUUUUGGUGACUCUGAAUAACUUUGUGCUGAUCGCAUGGUCAUCUAGCACCGGCGACGCAUCUUUCAAAUGUCUGCCUUAUCAACUGUCGAUGGUAGGUUCUGCGCCUACCAUGGUUGUAACGGGUAACGGGGAAUCAGGGUUCGAUUCCGGAGAGGGAGCCUGAGAAACAGCUACCACAUCCAAGGAAGGCAGCAGGCGCGCAAAUUACCCACUCCCGGCACGGGGAGGUAGUGACGAAAAAUAACGAUACGGGACUCAUCCGAGGCCCCGUAAUCGGAAUGAGUACACUUUAAAUCCUUUAACGAGGACCAAUUGGAGGGCAAGUCUGGUGCCAGCAGCCGCGGUAAUUCCAGCUCCAAUAGCGUAUAUUAAAGUUGUUGCGGUUAAAAAGCUCGUAGUUGAAUCUGUGUGUCACAGUGUCGGUUCACCGCUCGCGGUGUUUAACUGGCAUUAUGUGGUACGUCCUAUCGGUGGGCUUAGCUCCUUGCGGGCGGUCCAACUAAUAUCCCAUCGCGGUGCUCUUCACUGAGUGUCGAGGUGGGCCGAUACGUUUACUUUGAAAAAAUUAGAGUGCUUAAAGCAGGCUACCUUUGCCUGAAUACUGUGUGCAUGGAAUAAUGGAAUAGGACCUCGGUUCUAUUUUGUUGGUUUUCGGAACCCCGAGGUAAUGAUUAAUAGGGACAGAUGGGGGCAUUCGUAUUGCGACGUUAGAGGUGAAAUUCUUGGAUCGUCGCAAGACGGACAGAAGCGAAAGCAUUUGCCCAAAAAUGUUUUCAUUAAUCAAGAACGAAAGUUAGAGGUU
Molecule: ribosomal RNA, 1025 nt
Filed under: Apis mellifera (honey bee)
Lineage: Eukaryota; Metazoa; Arthropoda; Insecta; Hymenoptera; Apidae
Description: SSU rRNA
Rfam family: Eukaryotic small subunit ribosomal RNA
Source: RNAcentral